UCAGAUUUCUGGAUUAGUGUU
RNAcentral lists this non-coding RNA (21 nucleotides) under Caenorhabditis elegans. The record is from RNAcentral. Lineage: Eukaryota; Metazoa; Nematoda; Chromadorea; Rhabditida; Rhabditidae.